This 429-nucleotide ribosomal RNA is filed under the name Acidobacteriota bacterium. RNAcentral describes it as "Acidobacteria bacterium partial 16S ribosomal RNA". It matches the Rfam family "Bacterial small subunit ribosomal RNA", at positions 355 to 776 of the family's 1533-position model. The record is from RNAcentral. Lineage: Bacteria; Pseudomonadati; Acidobacteriota.
UGGGGAAUUUUGGACAAUGGGGGAAACCCUGAUCCAGCCAUCCCGCGUGUGCGAUGAAGGCCUUCGGGUUGUAAAGCACUUUUGGCAGGAAAGAAACGUCAUGGGUUAAUACCCCGUGAAACUGACGGUACCUGCAGAAUAAGCACCGGCUAACUACGUGCCAGCAGCCGCGGUAAUACGUAGGGUGCAAGCGUUAAUCGGAAUUACUGGACGUAAAGCGUGCGCAGGCGGUUCGGAAAGAAAGAUGUGAAAUCCCGGAGCUCAACUUUGGAACUGCAUUUUUAACUACCGGGCUAGAGUGUGUCAGAGGGGGGUGGAAUUCCGCGUGUAGCAGUGAAAUGCGUAGAUAUGCGGAGGAACACCGAUGGCGAAGGCAGCCUCCUGGGAUAACACUGACGCUCAUGCACGAAAGCGUGGGGAGCAAACAGG